UACGUAGGGAGCAAGCGUUGUCCGGAAUUAUUGGGCGUAAAGAGCUCGUAGGCGGUCUGUCGCGUCCGUUGUGAAAACUCGAGGCUCAACCUCGGGCUUGCAGUGGAUACGGGCAGACUAGAGUGCGGUAGGGGAGACUGGAAUUCCUGGUGUAGCGGUGGAAUGCGCAGAUAUCAGGAAGAACACCUAUGGCGAAGGCAGCUCGCUACACAUAUAUUGACUCUGAGGCACGAAAGCGUGGGGAUCAAACAGG
This 253-nucleotide ribosomal RNA is filed under the name uncultured bacterium. Its description in RNAcentral is "partial 16S ribosomal RNA". It matches the Rfam family "Bacterial small subunit ribosomal RNA", at positions 524 to 776 of the family's 1533-position model. The record is from RNAcentral.